GUCCACGCCCUAAACUAUGUCAACUGGUUGUCGGGGAAGCAAUUCCUUGGUAACGAAGCUAACGCGUGAAGUUGACCGCCUGGGGAAUACGGCCGCAAGGUUAAAACUCAAAGGAAUUGACGGGGACCCGCACAAGCGGUGGAUUAUGUGGAUUAAUUCGAUGCAACGCGAAAAACCUUACCUACCCUUGACAUGUACGGAAGCCUCCAGAGAUGGAGGUGUGCCCGAAAGGGAACCGUAACACAGGUGCUGCAUGGCUGUCGU
Molecule: ribosomal RNA, 264 nt
Filed under: uncultured bacterium
Lineage: Bacteria
Description: partial 16S ribosomal RNA
Rfam family: Bacterial small subunit ribosomal RNA
Source: RNAcentral